UGAAUACGAGACGCUAAGGCGUCGAAGUAGUGUAUAUCAGACUUCCAAGAAAAGCUUGCACUGUCAUAGAUAAAAAAUGCCUGUACCAUAACCGACACAGGUGGGUAGGUAGAGUAUACUAAGGGGCGCGAGAUAACUCUCUCUAAGGAACUCGGCAAAAUAACUCCGUAACUUCGGGAGAAGGAGUGCCUUAUUUAUAAGGUUGCAAUAACAAGAUCCAAGCAACUGUUUAUCAAAAACACAGGUCUCCGCUAAGUCGUAAGACAAUGUAUGGGGGCUGACGCCUGCCCAGUGCCAGAAGGUUAAAGAAGUUGGUUAGCAAUUGCGAAGCUGAUAACUGAAGCCCUGGUGAACGGCGGCCGUAACAAUAACGGUCCUAAGGUAGCGAAAUUCCUUGUCGGGUAAGUUCCGACCCGCACGAAAGGCGUAAUGAUUUGGAUACUGUCUCGGAGAGGGGCUCGGUGAAAUAGACUUGUCUGUGAAGAUGCGGACUACCUGCACCAGGACAGAAAGACCCUAUGAAGCUUUACUGUAACUUGAAAUUGAAAUUGGACUUUAUUCGCGCAGCAUAGGUGGGAGGCGUUGAUUAUAAUCUUGCGGGAUUAUUGGAGCCAUCAGUGAGAUACCACUCUUGUAAUGUUAGAUUUCUAACUUUGAAUCAUUAUCUGGUCAAAGAACAGUUUCAGGCGGGCAGUUUGACUGGGGCGGUCGCCUCCUAAAUGGUAACGGAGGCGUACAAAGGUUUCCUCUGAACGGUUAGAAAUCGUAUCUAGAGUGUAAAGGCAUAAGGAAGCUUGACUGUGAGACCUACAAGUCGAGCAGGGACGAAAGUCGGUCUUAGUGAUCUGACGGUACUGAGUGGAAAGGCCGUCACUCAACGGAUAAAAGUUACUCUAAGGAUAACAGGCUGAUCUCCCCCAAGAGUUCACAUCGACGGGGAGGUUUGGCACCUUGAUGUCGGCUCAUCGCAUCCUGGGGCGGUAGUACGUCCCAAGGGUUGGGCUGUUCGCCCAUGAAAGCGGUACGCGAGCUGGGUUCAGAACGUCGUGAGACAGUUCGGUCCAUAUCCGGUGUAGGCGUUAGAAUAUUGAGAGGAGCCUUCUUUAGUACGAGAGGACCGAGAAGGACAUACCUCUGGUGUACCAGUUAUCGUGCCAACGGUAAACGCUGGGUAGCUAUGUAUGGAGUGGAUAACCGCUGAAAGCAUCUAAGUGGGAAGCCCACCUCAAGAUAAG
This 1235-nucleotide ribosomal RNA is filed under the name metagenome. RNAcentral's name for it is "bacterial LSU rRNA". It matches the Rfam family "Bacterial large subunit ribosomal RNA", at positions 1564 to 2808 of the family's 2925-position model. The record is from RNAcentral.